UACAGAGGGUGCAAGCGUUGUUCGGAAUUACUGGGCGUAAAGCGCGUGUAGGCUGUUCGCCAAGUCUGAUGUGAAAGCCCUGGGCUUAACCCAGGAACUGCAUUGGAAACUAGCGAACUGGAGUCCGGGAGAGGGUCGCGGAAUUCCUGGUGUAGAGGUGAAAUUCGUAGAUAUCAGGAGGAACACCGGUGGCGAAGGCGGCGACCUGGACCGGUACUGACGCUGAGACGCGAAAGCGUGGGGAGCAAACAGG
This 253-nucleotide ribosomal RNA is filed under the name uncultured bacterium. Its description in RNAcentral is "partial 16S ribosomal RNA". It matches the Rfam family "Bacterial small subunit ribosomal RNA", at positions 524 to 776 of the family's 1533-position model. The record is from RNAcentral.